This 442-nucleotide ribosomal RNA is filed under the name uncultured bacterium. RNAcentral describes it as "bacterial SSU rRNA". It matches the Rfam family "Bacterial small subunit ribosomal RNA", at positions 338 to 795 of the family's 1533-position model. The record is from RNAcentral.
CCUACGGGGGGCUGCAGCAAGGAAUUUUCGUCAAUGGGGGAAACCCUGAACGAGCAACGCCGCGUGGGCGAAGAAGUCUUUCGGGAUGUAAAGCCCUUUUCCCUGUGAAGAAAGAAAGACGGUAACAGGGGAAUAAGCAUCGGCUAACUACGUGCCAGCAGCCGCGGUAAUACGUAGGAUGCAAGCGUUGUCCGGAAUUAUUGGGCGUAAAGAGCGCGCAGGCGGUAACUCAAGUCAGAUGUGAAAUAUCCGGGCUUAACCCGGAGGGGUCAUUUGAAACUGAGUAACUAGAGUACAGCAGAGGAUAGCGGAAUUCCCGGUGUAGUGGUGAAAUGCGUAGAUAUCGGGAGGAACACCAGUGGCGAAGGCGGCUAUCUGGGCUGAAACUGACGCUGAGGCGCGAAGGCUAGGGGAGCAAACAGGAUUAGAUACCCUGGUAGUC